This 406-nucleotide ribosomal RNA is filed under the name uncultured bacterium. Its description in RNAcentral is "partial 16S ribosomal RNA". It matches the Rfam family "Bacterial small subunit ribosomal RNA", at positions 30 to 526 of the family's 1533-position model. The record is from RNAcentral.
AUUGAACGCUGGCGGCAGGCCUAACACAUGCAAGUCGAACGAGUGGCGGACGGGUGAGUAAUGUCUGGGAAACUGUCCGAUGGAGGGGGAGAAUUACGGGAAACGGUAGCUAAUACCGCAUACCAUGGGAUGUGCCCAGAUGGGAUUAGCUAGUAGGUGGGGUAACGGCUCACCUAGGCGACGAUCCCUAGAGGGUCUGAGAGGACGACCAGCCACACUGGAACUGAGACACGGUCCAGACUCCUACGGGAGGCAGCAGUGGGGAAUAUUGCACAAUGGGCGCAAGCCUGAUGCAGCCAUGCCGCGUGUAUGAAGAAGGCCUUCGGGUUGUAAAGUACUUUCAGCGAGGAGGCGUUACUCGCAGAAGAAGCACCGGCUAACUCCGUGCCAGCAGCCGCGGUAAUUC